Molecule: RNA transcript, 2366 nt
Organism: Lycium barbarum (goji berry)
Lineage: Eukaryota; Viridiplantae; Streptophyta; Magnoliopsida; Solanales; Solanaceae
Gene name: F-box/kelch-repeat protein At3g23880-like
Exons: 5
Source: RefSeq, a predicted model, not a curated record
UAUUUUAGAAAAAAGAGGGGAAGAAGUGUAAGAAGUUUAUUUGGGUACCUUCUGCGGAAAAACAUCAAAACCUGGGACUCUUCUCCGAGAGCUCAAAUUGUGCAGGCGAAAUGGAAUCUGAGGGAGAUUUCUCCCAUCUGCACCCAAAACCUAACAAACCUACUAACCAUGCUUCCACUUCAAUUCAAGAAUCAAGCUUAAAAAUCCCUGUUCUACCAGAAGAACUCAUCACUGAAAUACUUUUAAACCUACCAGUAAAAUCCCUUUUGCAAUUCAGGUGUGUUUCAAAAUCUUGGCUUUCUUUAAUCUCUAGUCCUAAAUUUGUCAAGACCCAUCUCAGUUUAUGUGCUAAUAACAAGGCCUGCACCUACCAUAGACUUAUCUUGUCAUUGGUUCAACCAGUCACUACCUAUUCCCUUAUUUAUCAUCUUAUGGACUUUUCCCUUAGUACUUUACUUUAUGACUCUGUUACUAGGGCAUUUGACUUGGAUUAUCCUAUGAAAGGCCCCCACAAGUCUUUUGACGUUGUGGGUUCUGUCAAUGGGUUGGUUUGUUUUACUUUUGACCAAAAAGACUUAUUUCUCUGGAACCCAUCAAUUAGGAAGUUCAAGAAAUUGCCUGAUUUUAUUCCUAAAUUGAAUUUUCGUUCCUGUGUCAUGUAUGGUUUUGGAUAUGAUGAGGUUCAUGAUGAUUACAAGGUAGUGGCCGUUUCCCGGACUUCGAGUUAUGAUAUUUCACAUCAAGUUGAGGUCAAAAUAUAUAGUGUAAAUAGUGAUUCUUGGAGAAGUACCCAUGAUUUCAAUACUGGGAGGAAACUCAUUAAGUGGGGUAUGUCUGUGAAUGGGAAGCUUCAUUGGGCUAGUACUACUUCUCACAAGUUUGAUUCUUAUAAUGUUUGGUCUAUCCAAUCUAUUGAUUUGGCUGAUGGGAAAUUGGGAAAGGUGGAUAAACCCUGCUAUGGAGAAGGAGAUUUUGAUCUUGAAAUGUGCCUGGGAGUGUUGGGAAGUGAUCUUUCUGUGUUUUGUAGUUAUCAGAGAACUCAAACCGAUGUGUGGGUUAUGAAGGAGUAUGGGAUUAAAGAAUCUUGGACAAAGAUGUGUAUCAUCAAGUAUCCUAAUUAUCUUGUGGGGAAUCGGCUCUGUCCACCCUUUUGCAUGUCAAGUGAAGGUGAAAUUUUAUUUGAGCAUGGAUUAACUUUCAUAAUUUACAAUCCAAAGGAUGACUCGUUCAGAUACCCUACAGUUACGAACUGUGAUUCCUUUUAUUGGGAGAACAUGUACAUCGAAAGCCUAGUUUGGCCCAUUUUUACAGAAUGAACUUAUGAUGCAUCAACAACGAUAGCUUUGCAGACGAAGACAAUUAACAACAAUUUUUUUGCAAGAACAGUUAUUGGGUGGAGGUGCUUGGUGUCUUCAUCGACAAACUAAAUUGCAGUCAACUUUGUUUCUCUUCUUGACCAGUAUUUUAAGGAGGAUGUAGUGCCUCUAAACAGAGUAAGAACAAAGAGCACCUGGGACAUGGAAAUCAUGGCAGGUGAAUGCGCCAAUAAUGCCUGAUUGUAGUCCUUGCCAGGGUUUCUGUUUGAUCUGGGGGGCUUCUCCAAUAAUCUUCAUUAGGUGAAAAGCUGAUAGGGGUAAAGGAGGAUACACAGGAAUUACAGAACAACGGUUAAGAUCUGAUAUAGCAUCUAGUUUUGGUUGAAUAUCUUCCACUUAGACAGUGAUGUUGAGAUAAGCAAUGGUACGUUGCAACGAUAGAGCAAUUUAGGAAGCGAGUUUAGCUGUUGUGAUCAUGAGAGUGCGGUGGGAGUACCAUGGACAGGGCAGUGUAGGAGAAAAAGAUAUGGAGAUGAACCGAAGGUCUUGUCUGGUUUAAACUUGAAGUCAAGUUUUUUCCAGUCGAAACGUUGAACAAGCUUCGCAUUCACUUGAAUAUUAUAUGUAGUUUCAUAUUGAGAUUGAUCUACUAGAGAUAACUGACUUAAAUCGAAAACAAAAGGUUGCCGAAAUUGAAACAGAGAAAAGACACAAAUUGUUAAAACUGCAUUGGAGCAGAGGAAGUAGAGUGGUGGAUAUGAAGGUCAAUUAAAGGGCAAUCCCACUAGUAAGAAAACAAUUACUUCUUCAGUACUGCUUUAAAGUGGGAAGACACAAGUUAUAUCAUCGGUCUGUGCUUCUUGUGGUAUACAUCAGUUAGAACUUAGAAGAGACCUCAUGUUCCUUGCUGGUUUUUGGUUCCAGUAUGAACAUAUGCCAUUUAGGCACAAUGUAUCACUUAUGGUUAGCUGAAGGAAACUUUAUUUUAGUUUUUAAUGAUAAUACUUUAUUUUAACAUCUUUAUUUUAAAUAUUGAUGUUUCUUGUUGAA